This 518-nucleotide ribosomal RNA is filed under the name uncultured bacterium. RNAcentral describes it as "bacterial SSU rRNA". It matches the Rfam family "Bacterial small subunit ribosomal RNA", at positions 131 to 644 of the family's 1533-position model. The record is from RNAcentral.
CUUAAGUGGGGAAUAACGCAUCGAAAGAUGUGCUAAUACCGCAUAAUCUCUGAGGAGGAAAGCAGGGGAUCGUAAGACCUUGCGCUUUUGGAGCGGCCGAUGUCUGAUUAGCUAGUUGGUGGGGUAAUGGCCUACCAAAGCUUCGAUCAGUAGCUGGUCUGAGAGGACGGCCAGCCACACUGGGACUGAGACACGGCCCAGACUCCUACGGGAGGCAGCAGUGGGGAAUUUUGGACAAUGGGCGCAAGCCUGAUCCAGCCAUGCCGCGUGAGUGAAGAAGGCCUUCGGGUUGUAAAGCUCUUUCAGCCGGGAAGAAAAGGCUGCGACUAAUAAUCGCAGUUCAUGACGGUACCGGAAGAAGAAGCACCGGCUAACUACGUGCCAGCAGCCGCGGUAAUACGUAGGGUGCGAGCGUUAAUCGGAAUUACUGGGCGUAAAGGGUGCGCAGGCGGUUUUGUAAGUCAGAUGUGAAAUCCCCGGGCUUAACCUGGGAACUGCGUUUGAAACUACAAGGCUAG